AUUGAACGCUGGCGGCAGGCUUAACACAUGCAAGUCGAGCGGGGAAAGGUAGCUUGCUACUUAACCUAGCGGCGGACGGGUGAGUAAUGCUUAGGAAUCUGCCUAUUAGUGGGGGACAACAUCUCGAAAGGGAUGCUAAUACCGCAUACGUCCUACGGGAGAAAGUAGGGGACCUUCGGGCCUUGCGCUAAUAGAUGAGCCUAAGUCGGAUUAGCUAGUCGGUGGGGUAAAGGCCUACCAAGGCGACGAUCUGUAGCGGGUCUGAGAGGAUGAUCCGCCACACUGGGACUGAGACACGGCCCAGACUCCUACGGGAGGCAGCAGUGGGGAAUAUUGGACAAUGGGGGGAACCCUGAUCCAGCCAUGCCGCGUGUGUGAAGAAGGCCUUUUGGUUGUAAAGCACUUUAAGCGAGGAGGAGGCUACUGAGAUUAAUACUUUUGGAUAGUGGACGUUACUCGCAGAAUAAGCACCGGCUAACUCUGUGCCAGCCGCCGCCGUAA
This 501-nucleotide ribosomal RNA is filed under the name uncultured bacterium. RNAcentral describes it as "partial 16S ribosomal RNA". It matches the Rfam family "Bacterial small subunit ribosomal RNA", at positions 30 to 523 of the family's 1533-position model. The record is from RNAcentral.